AUCACGUCUCGGCCUUUUGGCUAAGAUCAAGUGUAGUGUCUGUUCUUACCAGUUUAAUAUCUGAUACGUCCUCUAUCUGAGGACAAUAUAUUAAAUGGAUUUUUGGAACUAGGAGUUGGAAUAGGAGCUUGCUCCGUCCACUCUACGGAUCAACCUGGUAUUGCAGUACCUCCAGGAACGGUGCACAAAAU
Molecule: small nuclear RNA, 191 nt
Filed under: Nannospalax galili (Upper Galilee mountains blind mole rat)
Lineage: Eukaryota; Metazoa; Chordata; Mammalia; Rodentia; Spalacidae
Description: U2 spliceosomal RNA (ENSNGAG00000004042.1)
Rfam family: U2 spliceosomal RNA
About the family: U2 is a small nuclear RNA (snRNA) component of the spliceosome (involved in pre-mRNA splicing). Complementary binding between U2 snRNA (in an area lying towards the 5' end but 3' to hairpin I) and the branchpoint sequence (BPS) of the intron results the bulging out of an unpaired adenosine, on the BPS, which initiates a nucleophilic attack at the intronic 5' splice site, thus starting the first of two transesterification reactions that mediate splicing.
Source: Rfam by way of RNAcentral